Molecule: long non-coding RNA, 341 nt
Filed under: Cyanistes caeruleus (blue tit)
Lineage: Eukaryota; Metazoa; Chordata; Aves; Passeriformes; Paridae
Description: lncRNA (ENSCCEG00000021004.1)
Source: RNAcentral
CCAGAGCACAUCACCUCCCACCCUUCUGAGAGCCUGGCACCCUCCCAAGGGCUGCCAGCACUAGCUGCACCCUUGCAAGUCUCCGACUAGAAAGCAGGCUGGGGCCAGUGAUCAGAUGAUAAACUCCAGCAAGACAGCAAGGGGCACAAAAGCAGAAGUCUUGAUACUGCUCAUGCUUGUAACAUUCCUUUUGCAGAACAGGAUGAUCUCAACAAAGCAUCAACAGAAGAAUGAGCAGCCUUAUUCCUGAAAUGUCUAGGAAUUCAGGGUGGACAACUAAAUUACUUAUUCAUCCUAAAAAUGUUAUAAUUUCUACAUUUAUUUAAUAAAAAUGCUCACAA